CACGUAGGGCGCGAGCGUUGUCCGGAAUUAUUGGGCGUAAAGAGCUCGUAGGCGGCCUGUUGCGUCCGCUGUGAAAGCCCGGGGCUUAACCCCGGGUCGGCAGUGGAUACGGGCAGGCUAGAGGUAGGUAGGGGAGAGUGGAAUUCCUGGUGUAGCGGUGAAAUGCGCAGAUAUCAGGAAGAACACCCGUGGCGAAGGCGGCUCUCUGGGACGGUACUGACGCUGAGACGCGAAAGCGUGGGGAGCGAACAGG
Molecule: ribosomal RNA, 253 nt
Filed under: uncultured bacterium
Lineage: Bacteria
Description: partial 16S ribosomal RNA
Rfam family: Bacterial small subunit ribosomal RNA
Source: RNAcentral